UACGGAGGGUGCAAGCGUUAAUCGGAAUUACUGGGCGUAAAGCGCACGCAGGCGGUCAAUUAAGUCAGAUGUGAAAGCCCCGAGCUUAACUUGGGAAUUGCAUCUGAAACUGGUUGGCUAGAGUCUUGUAGAGGGGGGUAGAAUUCCAUGUGUAGCGGUGAAAUGCGUAGAGAUGUGGAGGAAUACCGGUGGCGAAGGCGGCCCCCUGGACAAAGACUGACGCUCAGGUGCGAAAGCGUGGGGAGCAAAC
RNAcentral lists this ribosomal RNA (250 nucleotides) under uncultured bacterium. RNAcentral describes it as "partial 16S ribosomal RNA". It matches the Rfam family "Bacterial small subunit ribosomal RNA", at positions 524 to 773 of the family's 1533-position model. The record is from RNAcentral.